ACGAACGCUGGCGGCGUGCUUAACACAUGCAAGUCAAGGGGACCCGCAAGGGUAACCGGCGAACGGGUGCGUAACACGUGAGCAACCUACCGAGAUCUGGGGGAUAGCCGGCCCAACGGCCGGGUAAUACCGCAUACGCUCUUUCCACGGCAUUGUGGAUUGAGGAAACCUCCGGGGGAUUUCGAGGGGCUCGCGGCCUAUCAGCUAGUUGGCGAGGUCACGGCUCACCAAGGCGACGACGGGAGCUGGUCUGAGAGGAUGGCCAGCCACAUUGGGACUGAGAAACGGCCCAGACUCCUACGGGAGGCAGCAGUGGGGAAUCUUGCGCAAUGGCCGAAAGGCUGACGCAGCGACGCCGCGUGUGGGAGGAAGCCUUUC
RNAcentral lists this ribosomal RNA (378 nucleotides) under uncultured bacterium. RNAcentral describes it as "bacterial SSU rRNA". It matches the Rfam family "Bacterial small subunit ribosomal RNA", at positions 29 to 419 of the family's 1533-position model. The record is from RNAcentral.